RNAcentral lists this ribosomal RNA (669 nucleotides) under uncultured bacterium. RNAcentral's name for it is "bacterial SSU rRNA". It matches the Rfam family "Bacterial small subunit ribosomal RNA", at positions 62 to 726 of the family's 1533-position model. The record is from RNAcentral.
UCGAGCGGCAGCGCGGGGGCAACCCUGGCGGCGAGCGGCGAACGGGUGAGGAAUACAUCGGAACGUACCCCGGAGUGGGGGAUAACGCCGCGAAAGCGGCGCUAAUACCGCAUAUGCUCUGAGGAGGAAAGUGGGGGACCGCAAGGCCUCACGCUCUGGGAGCGGCCGAUGUCCGAUUAGCUAGUUGGUGGGGUAAUGGCUUACCAAGGCGACGAUCGGUAGCUGGUCUGAGAGGAUGAUCAGCCACACUGGGACUGAGACACGGCCCAGACUCCUACGGGAGGCAGCAGUGGGGAAUUUUGGACAAUGGGGGCAACCCUGAUCCAGCCAUGCCGCGUGCGGGAAGAAGGCCUUCGGGUUGUAAACCGCUUUUAGUCGGGAAGAAAAGGUUACCCCUAAUAAGGGUGACUCUUGACGGUACUGGCGGAAUAAGCACCGGCUAACUACGUGCCAGCAGCCGCGGUAAUACGUAGGGUGCGAGCGUUAAUCGGAAUUACUGGGCGUAAAGCGUGCGCAGGCGGUUCGUUAAGUUCGUUGUGAAAGCCCCGGGCUCAACCUGGGAACUGCAAUGGAAACUGGCGGGCUUGAGUAUGGCAGAGGGGGGUGGAAUUCCGCGUGUAGCAGUGAAAUGCGUAGAGAUGCGGAGGAACACCGAUGGCGAAGGCAGCC